This 465-nucleotide ribosomal RNA is filed under the name uncultured bacterium. RNAcentral's name for it is "partial 16S ribosomal RNA". It matches the Rfam family "Bacterial small subunit ribosomal RNA", at positions 28 to 507 of the family's 1533-position model. The record is from RNAcentral.
GACGAACGCUGGCGGCGUGCUUAACACAUGCAAGUCGAACGGAAAGGCCCCUUUGGGGGUCCUCGAGUGGCGAACGGGUGAGUAACACGUGAGUAACCUGCCCUUGACUUCGGGAUAACUUCAGGAAACUGGGGCUAAUACCGGAUAGGAAUCCUUGCUGCAUGGGGGGGGGUGAAAAGCUUCGGCGGUUUUGGGUGGACUCGCGGCUUAUCAGCUUGUUGGUGGGGUAGUGGCUUACCAAGGCGUUGACGGGUAGCCGGCCUGUGAGGGCGAGCGGCCACAUUGGGACUGAGAUACGGCCCAGACUCCUACGGGAGGCAGCAGUGGGGAAUAUUGCACAAUGGGCGGAAGCCUGAUGCAGCAACGCCGCGUGCGGGAUGACGGCCUUCGGGUUGUAAACCGCUUUCAGCAGGGGCGAAGCUUGUGGUGACGGUACCUGCAGAAGAAGCACCGGCUAACUACGUG